CUUACCAGAGAGGAUGGUUGAAACUAUGGAAAUGGAACUAAUCUCUCUUAGUGAUCUACAAACUACCACAACUUUAUCAAUCAAAUGUUGAAAUCAUGGAAGCAUUCCCCUGGCCAAAUUUAAUUUUGAAAUUGGACGAUGAAAGUGUUGGAGACGAUGAGCGAAGAAGAUGAAAGCUAUUAGAGAUAGAUGGAGGCUUAUGGGCGGUGGCCAGAGCUGCAUGAGCAUAAAUGAUUCUGGAUUCUACUAUUUUUUACCGAUUUCUUCAUUUCUUGGUUGCA
This is a non-coding RNA of Salvia hispanica, 281 nucleotides long. The record is from RefSeq and is a predicted model, not a curated record. NCBI's taxonomy places the organism in Eukaryota, Viridiplantae, Streptophyta, Magnoliopsida, Lamiales, Lamiaceae.